RNA transcript from Symsagittifera roscoffensis, 2170 nucleotides. It is a transcript of the gene named CUGBP Elav-like family member 2, with no coding region annotated. The transcript has 8 exons. NCBI's taxonomy places the organism in Eukaryota, Metazoa, Xenacoelomorpha, Acoela, Convolutidae. The record is from RefSeq and is a predicted model, not a curated record.
GUUAAGUUUACUCAACCAAUUAUUCAGCUAUUUCUCCCAUUUUUCUAUUUCUUCUGUUUUUCCAUUAGCGCCUCUCUCGUCACGUAGGUAGAAUAGCAUUUAAUUUAAGAAUCAGGCACAUUAAAAUGGCGUUAAUUUCCUGUUUCGAAGAGCAAAAGGCGAGCAAGCGGACUGAAAUUUAGCCCGACCAUUGAGGUCUUCAGGCAGCCCCGAAUCUGAAGUAAUGUACUCCAUGUCUGAAAACGAGUCAUUUGACAAGACAUUUGACAUCCGCUAUUAGCUUCAUUUGAUUAGCUUAACAACCCAGCUAACUUUGAAUUUCAACUAACUUCAUACUGAAUUCUUGCUAGUUUUUAAACUUACUACAAAACACUCAAUACGACAGUUAGCUGAUUCAAGAAGCAAGGCGAUGUUGAACUAUCUGAAUCAAAUAUCUCUUCUGCAACAACCGACCAAUUACCCUGCAUAUUUGAGCCUGGUACAGAAUUGUCCUCAGACUGUGGUUCAAAACGGCACCCUGUCCUCCCCACCCCCCCCUUCUUCCAACAACAUUCCAAACCAGAUAACAGGGAUAAAAUUACCUCCAUCGCCAAUUCCGGAGCCGAGCAAUCUUCAAAUCCGAAACAAUUCCUCCCCAACUCAAGCUCAACAACUUCGCCAACGAAUUAAUCACACUAACAACUGCAACUCCUCCGGCGUGGGUUCGGGUCUCGGCCUACUCCCCACACCAGCUUCAAUGCUUCUCUGUUCUUCUCAGUCAACAGUUAAUAAUGGACCAAAUGUACAGGCACUGCAGCUGGGUAAAAUGCAGAUGGCACUUCAGGGGUCAAAUUGCUCUUCGUCAUCAGUGUUGGGAGGGCCAAAUGGGACUCUGACGUCAGCAAGAGUUCAUGCCUCAAAUCUGACCGGUGCUCCAUGCAUAAUGCCAACAGACUCGUCAUCACUCGGAGGAACCAUCAGCGGAACAGCGACGCCCAUCGCCACGACCAACCUCCCCAACCACCACCCCCUGCAUCAUCUCUUUACCCACCCCUCCAUAACGGCUUCUCUACCCCACAUGCAACAGAUGAUAGAUCCCAGUCAGUUUCAGAAUGGGGCGAGUUUGGGGGGUCUCUUGGGGCAGAAUCCUGCCUCAAUAGUGGGUGGGACACUGGGAGGAGUGGGAUCAAAUCCUCUGGUGGAUCAGCUGCUGGUGAAUGCAGCACAAGCAUAUCAAACCCAACUUGCCAUCAAUGGUGGAAUGAGCUUCCUAAUGCCCAACACAAGCGCCCCCACCCCUUUCUCCACCUUGGACGCCCUGCAACUAGCAGCUCUGGGGGGUCUCCUACCACCCCCCACUCCCUCAGGACUCUCCAAGAGCAAACACGAGAAGCAGCGAGAGGGUCCGGAAGGGGCUAAUCUGUUCAUAUACCACUUGCCCGCAGACUUCACAGACGACGAUCUGGUGCAGACAUUCUCCCCCUUUGGGAAACUCAUUAGUGCCAAAGUGUUCAUCGACAAAAACACCAACCUCAGCAAAUGCUUCGGUUUCGUAAGCUACGAGACACCCCUGCAGGCAGAGGAGGCCAUCAGGGCCAUGAAUGGGUGUCAGAUCUCGAACAAAAGACUCAAGGUGCAACACAAGAAACUCAAGAGCAGCAGCGCCACCUCAUCUUCGUCCAACAGCGGCGACAAGCCAUACUAAUUUCACCAUGGUCACAUAAAGAGAGCUAUAAGGGACACGAAGAAUAAGAGCGAAGCUACUAUCAUGCUAAAGUUUGUGUCUGCCUAUCUGUUCAUCACAACUUGCUCAACAUUCCUCUUCAAUGUUCAUUCACGUGUGUAGCUCAAUCUUAAAAAACAUCCGUUUAAAGAAUACAAAUCUACCUUAUAAGAUCAGAAAACGAUCUACAAUCGUGAACUCUGCUUUAUAAAUGGUAACUCAUAACGAAGGAUGUUUUUGUCUUAGAAAAAGUUUAGAUGAUACAUGUUUUUGUUGCAACUAUGUUGAAAUGUUGAAUAGAGUUUUUGUAUAUCAAAUUGUAUGCGAAAACUUAUGUUUACGCUUUCUGUGCAAUAUGUGUACGGCUUUUCUUUAUUUUAGCAAUCUUCAAAUUAUCUGGAUCAUUGAUCAUCAUUCCAUUAAUUAAUUUGUAGUUCCAGUAAUUUGUAAAUCAAAAUUAACAAGCUA